RNAcentral lists this ribosomal RNA (984 nucleotides) under uncultured bacterium. RNAcentral's name for it is "bacterial SSU rRNA". It matches the Rfam family "Bacterial small subunit ribosomal RNA", at positions 9 to 1037 of the family's 1533-position model. The record is from RNAcentral.
GAGUUUGAUCCUGGCUCAGAACGUACGCUGGCGGCACGCCUAACACAUGCAAGUCGAACGCAGUAGCAAUACUGAGUGGCAAACGGGUGAGUAUAAUGUGGGAAUCUGCCUUUUGGUUUGGAAUAACACGGGGAAACCUGUGCUAAUACCGAAUAAGCCUUUACAGGGAAAGUUUUAAUGCCGAAAGAUGAGCCUGCACUUGAUUAGCUAGUUGGUAAGGUAAAAGCUUACCAAGGCAACGAUCAAUAGCUGUUCUUAGAGGAAGACCAGCCACAUUGGGACUGAGACACGGCCCAGACUCCUACGGGAGGCAGCAGUGGGGAAUCUUGCACAAUGGGGGAAACCCUGAUGCAGCGAUGCCGCGUGAGUGAAGAAGGCCCUUGGGUUGUAAAACUCUUUCGUCGGGGAAGAAAAUGACUGUACCCGAAUAAGAAGGUCCGGCUAACUUCGUGCCAGCAGCCGCGGUAAUACGAAGGGACCUAGCGUAGUUCGGAAUUACUGGGCUUAAAGAGCUCGUAGGUGGUUGAAAAAGUUGAUGGUGAAAUCCCAAGGCUCAACCUUGGAACUGCCAUCAAAACUUUUUAGCUAGAGUGUGAUAGAGGUAAGUGGAAUUUCUAGUGUAGAGGUGAAAUUCGUAGAUAUUAGAAAGAACACCAAAUGCGAAGGCAACUUACUGGAUCACUACUGACACUGAGGAGCGAAAGCAUGGGUAGCGAAGAGGAUCAGAUACCCUCGUAGUCCAUGCCGUAAACGAUGUGUGCUAGACGUUGGAAAUAUAUUUUUCAGUGUCGCAGCGAAAGCAUUAAGCACACCGCCUGGGGAGUACGACCGCAAGGUUAAAACUCAAAUGAAUUGACGGGGACCCGCACAAGCAGUGGAGCAUAUGGUUUAAUUCGAAGAUACGCGUAGAACCUUACCAACACUUGACAUGUUCGUCGCGAGACUAAGAGAUUAGUCUUUUCAGUUCGGCUGGACGAAACACAG